Wyeomyia smithii (pitcher-plant mosquito) is the source of this 475-nucleotide long non-coding RNA. RefSeq lists it as uncharacterized. The record is from RefSeq and is a predicted model, not a curated record. NCBI's taxonomy places the organism in Eukaryota, Metazoa, Arthropoda, Insecta, Diptera, Culicidae. The transcript has 3 exons.
GUUAAAUUCUUGGGUGGAUUCAAUGGUCAAUCGUGGGAAUCGCUAUCUCUACUGUUAUUCAAGAAGUCACAGUCUACAUCACAGGUUCUAUUACCAAUCGGUCACCAGUAGUAGCUAAUCGAUUCGUGUCUCAUUUGAGUUUGCUAGAAACACUAGAAACGAACAAAAUGAAAAUUUGGUUCUCCUUUUUGGGACUUGUAUUGUUGUGCUUAACUGUCCAGGGUCAAGUUUGCGAUGAGUGUGACGUGGAACUACCCCUAGAAGCUCCUGAAGAUGUUGUUGAAGCCUUUCCGAUACAAAAUACACCAGAUGAGUCAGACGCACAAAUGAAAAACGUAAUUGAUGCCCCAGUGGUUUGCCCGGAAGGUCAGAAACCUGACCACAAAGGAAAAUGUCGAGUUGUUUGGAGUAGGACAGCACCAAUCAAGCAGCAAUACGUACCUUAGGAGUAUUCAAUAAAUAAGAUCACAACGUA